UGAGGAAUAUUGGUCAAUGGGCGCAGGCCUGAACCAGCCAAGUAGCGUGAAGGAUGACUGCCCUAUGGGUUGUAAACUUCUUUUAUAUGGGAAUAAAGUUUUCCACGUGUGGAAUUUUGUAUGUACCAUAUGAAUAAGGAUCGGCUAACUCCGUGCCAGCAGCCGCGGUAAUACGGAGGAUCCGAGCGUUAUCCGGAUUUAUUGGGUUUAAAGGGAGCGUAGGUGGACAGUUAAGUCAGUUGUGAAAGUUUGCGGCUCAACCGUAAAAUUGCAGUUGAUACUGGCUGUCUUGAGUACAGUAGAGGUGGGCGAAAUUCGUGGUGUAGCGGUGAAAUGCUUAGAUAUCACGAAGAACUCCGAUUGCGAAGGCAGCUCACUGGACUGCAACUGACACUGAUGCGCGAAAGUGUGGGUAUCAAACAGG
Molecule: ribosomal RNA, 424 nt
Filed under: Acidobacteriota bacterium
Lineage: Bacteria; Pseudomonadati; Acidobacteriota
Description: Acidobacteria bacterium partial 16S ribosomal RNA
Rfam family: Bacterial small subunit ribosomal RNA
Source: RNAcentral